This 377-nucleotide ribosomal RNA is filed under the name uncultured bacterium. RNAcentral's name for it is "bacterial SSU rRNA". It matches the Rfam family "Bacterial small subunit ribosomal RNA", at positions 790 to 1167 of the family's 1533-position model. The record is from RNAcentral.
GUAGUCCACGCCGUAAACGAUGAGUGCUAGUCGUUGGGUUUUUACUCAGUGACACAGUUAACACGUUAAGCACUCCGCCUGGGGAGUACGGUCGCAAGAUUAAAACUCAAAGGAAUUGACGGGGACCCGCACAAGCGGUGGAGCAUGUGGUUUAAUUCGAUGCUACGCGAAGAACCUUACCAACCUUUGACAUCCCUCUUUCGGACUUUUUAAUAGAAGUCUUUCGGUUCGGCCGGAGAGGAGACAGGUGUUGCAUGGCUGUCGUCAGCUCGUGUCGUGAGAUGUUGGGUUAAGUCCCGCAACGAGCGCAACCCUCAUCCUUAGUUGCCAACGGAUAAUGCCGGGAACUCUAAGGAAACUGCCCGUGACAAACGGGA